RNAcentral lists this ribosomal RNA (253 nucleotides) under uncultured bacterium. RNAcentral's name for it is "partial 16S ribosomal RNA". It matches the Rfam family "Bacterial small subunit ribosomal RNA", at positions 524 to 776 of the family's 1533-position model. The record is from RNAcentral.
UACGUAGGUGACUAGCGUUGUCCGGAUUUACUGGGCGUAAAGAGCGCGCAGGCGGUCGUUCAAGUCGAGUGUGAAAGCCCCCGGCUCAACUGGGGAGGGUCAUUCGAUACUGAUCGACUCGAAGGCAGGAGAGGGAAGCGGAAUUCCCGGUGUAGUGGUGAAAUGCGUAGAUAUCAAGAGGAACACCUGCGGCGAAGGCGGGUUGCUGGGCCGACACUGACGCUGAGGCGCGAAAGCUAGGGGAGCGAACGGG